GCGCUAUCACAUUCGGCAUCCAUCGUAUUUUUAUUUAUCAGUUGUCAAAUUAGACCAAUAUGUGGUCUGCAUCCCCUGCAUAAUUGAUCCUUUUACAUACAUGUCAGACUCCACUCCUUUAUUUCUUUAAUGGCUUUCAGUUAUUUGGUGGACACAGGGAAUUGAUUCCAAGUUCCCUCCCCAAACUCCUACUUCACUCCAUAUUCUGUUCCUCUGCACUCUUAUUUUUUCAUCAACAAGAAUUAUCCCUGUUUUAUCAAACUUUUCUCACGAUUAAGACCACCCUGCCUCAAGCUUUCAUCCAUCAAAUUCUCAUUUCUAGUCCUCUUAUUCCACAGUUCCCAUAAUUCUGUCCAACCCCUUUAUUUAAAGUGUCCCAAUGACUCGCACCCAUUAACAACCCAUCAUUCGACAAAUUAUAUUAAACAACCUGAUUUGUCUCCUAUAUGCAAAAAUUACGAGUCAGGUUUUUUUGCUUUAAUAUAAAUGGCAAUUUUUUUUCACACAUCUCGUUUUUGAACUCCCAUGCGUAUUUGUUACUAUCAACUAUAUGGCAUCAAUG
RNAcentral lists this long non-coding RNA (562 nucleotides) under Mytilus galloprovincialis (Mediterranean mussel). The record is from RNAcentral. Lineage: Eukaryota; Metazoa; Mollusca; Bivalvia; Mytilida; Mytilidae.